This 427-nucleotide ribosomal RNA is filed under the name uncultured bacterium. RNAcentral's name for it is "bacterial SSU rRNA". It matches the Rfam family "Bacterial small subunit ribosomal RNA", at positions 97 to 518 of the family's 1533-position model. The record is from RNAcentral.
GGCGCACGGGUGAGUAACGCGUAUGCAAACCUACCUAUACAGGACGGGGAAUAACCCGGCGAAAGUCGGACUAAUACCGCAUAAAACAGGGGCACCGCAUGGUGAUAUUUGUUAAAGAAAUUCGCUGAUAGAUGGGCAUGCGUUCCAUUAGGUAGUUGGUGAGGUAACGGCUCACCAAGCCGACGAUGGAUAGGGGAACUGAGAGGUUGGUCCCCCACACUGGUACUGAGACACGGACCAGACUCCUACGGGAGGCAGCAGUGAGGAAUAUUGGUCAAUGGGCGAGAGCCUGAACCAGCCAAGUCGCGUGAAGGAAGAAGGAUCUAUGGUUCGUAAACUUCUUUUGCAGGGGAAUAAAGUGCAGGACGUGUCCUGUUUUGUAUGUACCCUGAGAAUAAGGAUCGGCUAACUCCGUGCCAGCCGCGGC